CGCCGCCCGCUCCGCGUCUCCACCAUUCCCUCGCCGCCACCGCCGGCGUCCAAUCCGCCCUCCCAUGAAGUAGCCCUUCCCCUUCCGCCUCCAAACCUACCUACCGGAGCUCGACUCCGCUACCCCAUCCGUCGAAGAUGCUCCCGGUGCUGCUCUUUGCAAAGGCGAACCGGCGGGCGGCGACGAUGGAGCGGACGCUAGAGGGAUCGGUGGAGGGGAUAGCGAAAGUACCCGAUCGAGGUGCUUGUGGAGAUCUAUGGCGGGAAUCGGGAAGCUGGGUUACGCAGUUGGGCGGCGAUGCAGAG
RNAcentral lists this long non-coding RNA (305 nucleotides) under Phoenix dactylifera (date palm). RNAcentral's name for it is "long non-coding RNA (PDAC_LNC022415)". Lineage: Eukaryota; Viridiplantae; Streptophyta; Magnoliopsida; Arecales; Arecaceae. The record is from RNAcentral.